GACGAACGCUGGCGGCGUGCCUAAUACAUGCAAGUUGAGCGCUGAAGGUUGGUACUUGUACCAACUGGAUGAGCAGCGAACGGAUGAGUAACGCGUGGGGAAUCUGCCUUUGAGCGGGGGACAACAUUUGGAAACGAAUGCUAAUACCGCAUAAAAACUUUAAACACAAGUUUUAAGUUUGAAAGAUGCAAUUGCAUCACUCAAAGAUGAUCCCGCGUUGUAUUAGCUAGUUGGUGAGGUAAAGGCUCACCAAGGCGAUGAUACAUAGCCGACCUGAGAGGGUGAUCGGCCACAUUGGGACUGAGACACGGCCCAAACGCCUACGGGAGGCAGCAGGAGGGAAUCUUCGGCAAGGGACGAAAGUCUGACCGAGCAACGCCGAGUGAGUGAAGAAGGGUGUCGGAUCGUAAAACUCUGUUGGUAGAGAAGAAAGUUGGUGAGAGUGGAAAGCUCAUCAAGUGACGGUAACUACCCAGAAAGGGACGGCUAACUACGUG
Molecule: ribosomal RNA, 497 nt
Filed under: uncultured bacterium
Lineage: Bacteria
Description: partial 16S ribosomal RNA
Rfam family: Bacterial small subunit ribosomal RNA
Source: RNAcentral